UAGUAACUGGCUUCUCUGGCUACAUUCAAUAACAUGAAGUUAACCACAUUGUGUUUUAUUUUAUUGCUAAUAAAUCUUGCGUACUGUUGUACUGUAUGCAAAGCUAAGCCACCACGCGAAGAUUCGUGGAAAUAUGUUAAAGUACCUCUGCCUAAACGAAAAUUUAUGUUUCGCUUAACAAACAGUACAUCCCCAUACUAAACCAAAUAAAAACUACUUAAUUAUUA
Long non-coding RNA from Pieris rapae (cabbage white), 227 nucleotides. RefSeq lists it as uncharacterized. The transcript has 2 exons. The record is from RefSeq and is a predicted model, not a curated record. Lineage: Eukaryota; Metazoa; Arthropoda; Insecta; Lepidoptera; Pieridae.